CCUACGGGGGGCUGCAGUGGGGAAUAUUGCGCAAUGGGGGAAACCCUGACGCAGCGACGCCGCGUGAGCGAUGAAGGCCUUCGGGUUGUAAAGCUCUGUCUUCCCUGACGAUAAUGACGGUAAGGGAGGAGGAAGCCACGGCUAACUACGUGCCAGCAGCCGCGGUAAUACGUAGGUGGCAAGCGUUGUCCGGAAUUAUUGGGCGUAAAGGGUGCGUAGGCGGCUCUUUAAGUGGGAUGUGAAAUCCCUAGGCUCAACCUAGGAACUGCAUUCCAAACUGGAGAGCUAGAGUGCAGGAGAGGAAAGCGGAAUUCCCAGUGUAGCGGUGAAAUGCGUAGAGAUUGGGAGGAACACCAGUGGCGAAGGCGGCUUUCUGGACUGUAACUGACGCUGAGGCACGAAAGCGUGGGGAGCAAACAGGAUUAGAUACCCCUGUAGUC
This 440-nucleotide ribosomal RNA is filed under the name uncultured bacterium. RNAcentral's name for it is "bacterial SSU rRNA". It matches the Rfam family "Bacterial small subunit ribosomal RNA", at positions 338 to 795 of the family's 1533-position model. The record is from RNAcentral.